This 438-nucleotide long non-coding RNA is filed under the name Solanum tuberosum (potato). Its description in RNAcentral is "long non-coding RNA (STUB_LNC008724)". The record is from RNAcentral. Lineage: Eukaryota; Viridiplantae; Streptophyta; Magnoliopsida; Solanales; Solanaceae.
UAUUAGUGAUAUCUCUUGAUUGAUAUUAGGAUAUCUCUUGAUUGAUAUUCCAUAUCUUAGUAUCUCAUUAGUGAUUUAGUUUCUAUUAUAAUUAGGUGAAGAUCACAAUCCUUUAGUAGUUGAUUCUUUCCUUAUUUGUAGUUUGCUCUCUUGUAUAAAUACACAUACAUAUUAAUAAAACACAUACUUCUUCUCUCCAGCAGUAAAGUUUAUAUGGUAUCAAGAGCCUAAAAGCUUAACAGCGUUUUUUUUUUUUCCCUUGAGAAUUUGUGUCUUUUCCGCUGCCACUAACAAUGGUUUCAACCAAUGCCUCCACUGAGAACACCCCAGCUACAUCUUCUCCUGUAUCUGUACCAAAUUCUCCCACAAUUCUCACCAUGAAUAGCAAUGAGCAGUUGAUCAAUAUCAAUGUUGUUGCUCAGGCACCUCUAAAGCUCG